RNAcentral lists this non-coding RNA (876 nucleotides) under Ovophis monticola. The record is from RNAcentral. Lineage: Eukaryota; Metazoa; Chordata; Lepidosauria; Squamata; Viperidae.
UCAUCACAACGGUGAAACAGCCACAACAACCCUGAGCUGGCAUCAGUCUAUCCACCACAACGCCAAGCAAUAGCCACACCCCCACGGGCAACACAGCAGUAAUUAACAUUAGGCUAUAAGUGAAAACUUGACCAAGCAAAAUGAAUAAGGGCCGGUUAAUCUCGUGCCAGCGACCGCGGUUACACGAUAGACCCAAGGUAAUAUUAACGGCGUAAAAGUGACUAAAAUAACAGUCCCGACUUAGGGCGAAAACCAGACUCGGCUGUAAAAAGCCAUAAGUCACAUUAACCACCACCCCUAACACUACACAACUUUGACUCAUGAAAGCCAGGACACAAACUAAGAUUAGAUACCCUACUAUGCCUAGCCGUAACACACAAUUAAAUUACAAAUUGUUCGCCAAACAACUACGAGUCCCACUUAAAACUUAAAAGACUUGACGGUACUUCAUCACGGCCUAGAGGAGCCUGUCUAAUAACCGACAAUCCACGAUUAACCCCACCCUUUCUCGCCUUACAGUCUAUAUACCGCCGUCGCCAGCUUACCUUGUAAAAGAGAAAAAGUGAGCUAAACAGUACUACGCUAGAACGACAGGUCGAGGUGUAACCUAUGAAAGGGACUACGAUGGGCUACAUUCUUCAACCGAGAACACGAAUAGCACUAUGAAAUUAGUGCUUGAAGGCGGAUUUAGCAGUAAGAUAAGAAUAAAACACUUAACUGAACAUGACGCAAUGAAGUGCGUACACACCGCCCGUCACCCCUGUCACCACAACACCAGACUUUAAUAAAUCAACUAAAAGAAUCAAGCAGGGCAAGUCGUAACAUGGUAAGUGUACUGGAAAGUGCACUUAGAAACAAAAAGUAGCUUACAAAAAG